Molecule: ribosomal RNA, 309 nt
Filed under: uncultured eukaryote
Lineage: Eukaryota
Description: partial 18S ribosomal RNA
Rfam family: Eukaryotic small subunit ribosomal RNA
Source: RNAcentral
CCCUUAGAUGUUCUGGGCGGCCCGCGCACUACAAUGGCGUGUGCAGCGAGUGCCGAAGUAGAGUUUUCCGAGGUAUUCUUGCAAUGCUCGUUUUGAUGGGGAUAGACCCUUGCAACUGUUGGUUUUGAACGAGGAAUUCCUUGUAAGCAUGGUUUAUCAUCCGACGCUGAAUGCGUCCCUGCCCUUUGUGCACACCGCCCGUCGCUCCUACCGAUGAGUCGUCCGGUGAAGUUCGUAGACCUCGUGAUCGCGGAUCACUGGGGGAAGCAAAAUGAACCUCGCGGUUUAGAGGAAGGAGAAGUCGUAACA